GAGUUGCAAGAUUGUGACUACCAAGGCUUCACGUGUCGCACGCGCCUGCGAGCGGCCGGUUCGUCAUCGGCUCCCCAGGAACACGAGCGUUUUGAGGGGCGGGCAAAACUCCACGAUCAAUAGGUGAACAAGAACAAAACGCUCCGUUCACCUGGGGGCAGCAGACGCGGCCCUGGGAUAGGUUUUCUGCAGUCGCACCAUUUGAUUCAGCCAUAAGGAUCAGGCUUUCGAGACCAACUGACGGACAGCCAAGCCCCCUUAUCUCAGACCAUGCACAACCAGAGCUUUCUGCCUCACGUAAACACUUGAAAAUCGAAAUCGGUAGUUUAUCUGAGCUUAGCAGGUUUAUAUGAAAGUAUUCUGACUACCUGAAGGCACAAGGUGGAGUCUUUUUUAACAUGUGUGGCCUUUACAGAGUUCACUUGCUUUGUGUGUGCGAGACGGACAUGGGGACAGGGUUUUGUGCAUUUAUUUUUAGUUUAGUUGCGCCUUUCUUGAAUUGGUUGUGGUAGUAUUUUUUUUGUUCCUAAAUCAAUAAAAUUGUUUAGAAAGUGCAGUAUGAUCAGAAAUCGAUACGCUUCAGCUACUAACAGAUAUGAGACAGGGAGCACUUGUGUAAGUACUUCAGCAAAUAAAGUUUGUCAUCCCUCA
Rhipicephalus microplus (southern cattle tick) is the source of this 651-nucleotide long non-coding RNA. RefSeq lists it as uncharacterized. The record is from RefSeq and is a predicted model, not a curated record. Lineage: Eukaryota; Metazoa; Arthropoda; Arachnida; Ixodida; Ixodidae.